GAGAGACGUGGACGAAGUUUGUCUGUUGUCCAGUGUUGUCCUAAAGGGACAACUGGAACAUCGUGAGAAGGUGGGAGUGCCUGUAUUAAAUCAUGGCGAGACUUCAGCUGAAAGCCAGUCGUUUGCGGAACGUUGGGAGAAUCUGAAAGAUCCUCGGGUCCUGUCAUCCGAUUAUUGAGGAAAAAAAAAAAAAAAAAACAGUGCUGACCACUUUUUCGCGUAUCAUCCCCCGUCGAGUUCUGGCAUUCGCCGGAACAUUGUCACGUAGACUAUUCGUGUUGACGAGCGCUGGACAACUGUGUUCGGGAAAGAAAAAACCGAUCCGACGAAAACAACUUGAUUGUAAUAAA
Long non-coding RNA from Pseudomyrmex gracilis, 350 nucleotides. RefSeq lists it as uncharacterized. NCBI's taxonomy places the organism in Eukaryota, Metazoa, Arthropoda, Insecta, Hymenoptera, Formicidae. The record is from RefSeq and is a predicted model, not a curated record. The transcript has 2 exons.